AGAAUCAACGCUGGCGGCGUGCCUCAGACAUGCAAGUCGAGCGAUUAAAGCUCUCUUCGGAGAGUGUAUAAAGCGGCGUACGGGUGAGUAACACGUAAGUAAUCUACCUUCGAGUGGGGAAUAACAGUCGGAAACGACUGCUAAUACCGCAUAAUGCAGCGGCACCUAAUGGUGACAGUUGUUAAAGCAUUUAUGCGCUUGAAGAGGAGCUUGCGGCAGAUUAGCUUGUUGGUAAGGUAAUGGCUUACCAAGGCUACGAUCUGUAUCCGGUCUAAGAGGACGGUCGGACACACUGACACUGAAUAACGGGUCAGACUCCUACGGGAGGCAGCAGUCGGGAAUUUUGGGCAAUGGGCGAAAGCCUGACCCAGCAACGCCGCGUGAAGGAUGAAGUCUUUCGGGAUGUAAACUUCGUAAGAAUAGGAAGAAUAAAUGACGGUACUAUUUGUAAGGUCCGGCUAACUACGUGCCAGCAGCCGCGGUAAUACGUAGGGACCAAGCGUUGUUCGGAUUUACUGGGCGUAAAGGGCGCGUAGGCGGCGUGUUAAGUCACUUGUGAAAUCUCUAAGCUUAACUUAGAACGGUCAAGUGAUACUGAUGUGCUAGAGUGCAGAAGGGGCAACCGGAAUUCUUGGUGUAGCGGUGAAAUGCGUAGAUAUCAAGAGGAACACCUGAGGUGAAGACGGGUUGCUGGGCUGACACUGACGCUGAGGCGCGAAAGCUAGGGUAGCAAACGGGAUUAGAUACCCCGGUAGUCCUAGCCCUAAACGAUGAAUACUUGGUGUCUGGAGUUCUUUUCUCCGGGUGCCGUCGCUAACGUUUUAAGUAUCCG
Molecule: ribosomal RNA, 832 nt
Filed under: uncultured bacterium
Lineage: Bacteria
Description: bacterial SSU rRNA
Rfam family: Bacterial small subunit ribosomal RNA
Source: RNAcentral